CUUCGGGUAUUGAGGAUGGCGGACGGGUGAGUAACGCGUAAGGAACUUGCCUCUUGGACUGGGACAACUGUUGGAAACGACAGCUAAUACCGGAUAUUAUGAGAUUCUCGCAUGAGAAACUUAUGAAAGCUAUAUGCGCCAAGAGAGAGCCUUGCGUUCCAUUAGCUAGUUGGUGGGGUAAUGGCCCACCAAGGCGACGAUGGAUAGCCGGCCUGAGAGGGUGAACGGCCACAAGGGGACUGAGACACGGCCCUUACUCCUACGGGAGGCAGCAGUGGGGAAUAUUGGACAAUGGGCCACAAGCCUGAUCCAGCAAUUCUGUGUGCACGAUGAAGGUCUUCGGAUUGUAAAGUGCUUUCAGUUGGGAAGAAGAAAGUGACGGUACCAACAGAAGAAGCGACGGCUAAAUACGUGCCAGCAGCCGCGGUAAUACGUAUGUCGCAAGCGUUAUCCGGAUUUAUUGGGCGUAAAGCGCGUCUAGGCGGAAAAAUAAGUCUGAUGUUAAAAUGCGGGGCUCAACUCCGUAUUGCGUUGGAAACUGUUUUUCUAGAGUACUGGAGAGGUGGGCGGAACUACAAGUGUAGAGGUGAAAUUCGUAGAUAUUUGUAGGAAUGCCGAUGGAGAAGUCAGCUCACUGGACAGAUACUGACGCUGAAGCGCGAAAGCGUGGGGAGCAAACAGGAUUAGAUACCCUGGUAGUCCACGCCGUANACGAUGAUCACUAGGUGUUGGGGGUCGAACCUCAGCGCCCAAGCUAACGCGAUAAGUGAUCCGCCUGGNGAGUACGCACGCAAGUGUGAAACUCANAGGAAUUGACGGGGACCCGCACAAGCGGUGGAGCAUGUGGUUUAAUUCGACGCAACGCG
Molecule: ribosomal RNA, 866 nt
Filed under: Cetobacterium sp. ZF1ND03
Lineage: Bacteria; Fusobacteriati; Fusobacteriota; Fusobacteriia; Fusobacteriales; Fusobacteriaceae
Description: bacterial SSU rRNA
Rfam family: Bacterial small subunit ribosomal RNA
Source: RNAcentral